This is a long non-coding RNA of Quercus robur (English oak), 817 nucleotides long. RefSeq lists it as uncharacterized. Lineage: Eukaryota; Viridiplantae; Streptophyta; Magnoliopsida; Fagales; Fagaceae. The transcript has 2 exons. The record is from RefSeq and is a predicted model, not a curated record.
ACAUGAUUAUGAUUAUGAAACCAAAAGAAAAAAUAUAUAUAAAUCCUACAAAAGGUGAAAGGUAGCAAAGGAAAGAAAAGUAAAUUCAUACAAGCAAGAGAACUUGAUUCAAAGUUAUAGAGAGAGAAAAAAAACACACACACACACAUACACAGCUAAAAGAAAGACACAGAAACAAAACAAAAUAAAAACUCUGUUAAAAAGCUAUGAGGAAAAGAAACAUGUGGUAUUGGAAUUCCGAGAGAGAGAGAGAGAGAGAGAGAGAGAGAGAGAGAGAGAGAGAGAGAAACUGAAACCCUUCUCUGGUUUGUUCUUCCUUUUGGUUUAAAACAGCUUUUUGAAGGGUCUUUGGAGGUUGGAAGGUUUAGCUAAGGUGGGUUGUUUCUGUUAUGGAGAUUGGAAGUCAUAUGUUAGUUUUAAGGUAAGAUUCUUACUGAAUUCCUUGUUUUUAUGGAUCUCUUUGCUCUCUGAAAUGUCAGAUGUCGUUUACUUGAAGAAUUUAUUGUCUUUAUCCUGUUAAAAUUAAUUUUCUUUAUCAACAACUAACUGAUUUUGCACCUUAAAAAAAAAAAUUUCUCUCUCUCUCUCUUUCCCUGGCUGAAAGUAUUCUUGGAAAUUUAUGUUUGUAAUACUUAAUUGUUCUUUUCUUCAUCUUGUAAAAAGCUUUUGUUCUCCUGCAGAGAGAUGAUUCUUCUGCUAAGAAACUGAAUUAGCCUUGUGAACGAUUUGUUCCCUUUUCUUAAUUAUUAAAAAAAAAAAAAUAGUAUCUUUCUUGUUUGUCUAAGUAGAUGCUUCUGCUUGUCAGUAUGUGUUUGUU